Molecule: ribosomal RNA, 253 nt
Filed under: uncultured bacterium
Lineage: Bacteria
Description: partial 16S ribosomal RNA
Rfam family: Bacterial small subunit ribosomal RNA
Source: RNAcentral
UACAGAGGUGGCAAGCGUUGUUCGGAAUUACUGGGCGUAAAGGGCGCGUAGGCGGCCGCCUAAGUCAGACGUGAAAUCCCCAAGCUUAACUUGGGAACUGCGUCUGAUACUGGGUGGCUCGAGUUCGGGAGAGGAAUGUGGAAUUCCAGGUGUAGCGGUGAAAUGCGUAGAUAUCUGGAGGAACACCGGUGGCGAAGGCGGCAUUCUGGACCGAAACUGACGCUGAUGCGCGAAAGCCAGGGGAGCAAACGGG